UUAUCUAUGUCUUUCCCGUGUCUUCCCUCGCCUCCCAUGCCCCUCGCCGCACACUGCACACAGCGCCCCCAGCCUGAUAGCCUCCAUCCGCGAGGGCCUCCACGCAAGCCCCCCGCUGCUGCCUCCCUCCUCCGCCAUAGCCUUCGUCGCCACACGCACCGCCCCCAGCCUCCUCCGCCGUAGCCGCUGCCGCCAUCUACCUCCUCCGCGGUGACCGCCGCCGCCUCCCUCCUCCGCCAGGGCCGCCGACGCCUCCCUCCUCCGUGUGAGCCGCCGCCGCUCCCCUCGCACCGCCGCAGCCCCUCUCCCCAUCGUCCUCGAGCGUCGAGGUUUCCUCCACCUCCUCGCCGCGCGCGACGACGAUAGCAAACAAGAUGGUCUCGGAGAUGCAGCUCCCUCUCCGCCUCCUCUCGCCUCGCGCCGCCUCACCACGGUCAAGGACGUGGUGUCGUUGCCGGAGGUGGAACUCAUGUGCCUCCUCGACCCGGCAUCACUGUCGCCAGCGUCUGCCCUCCCUGCCAGACGAUAGCCCGUUGCUUUUUCGUGGCCUCUUUCACCUGUCCAGUUUGUGGGUUUUUGAACACUAUGCUGGUUGUGAUGGCUGAUGAUGUUGCGGUCACCAUUGGCGAGCAGAAGAAGAUCUAGAUGUUGGAUGGGAUGGGGGGUUUGGUUACUCUGGAUAAGGCAUUUACUAGGAUGGAGAGAACAAAUUUCUUGGUUAAUGGAACGCGUUCCUCAUUGGUCAAACCGUCGACAGAACAAGCUUCUUUCCGUUCCAAGGGCAACAUUUUUCUUUGUGUAUACGAACCAGUAGAUGCAAUUUUGUUCUCGUUAUUUUCUUGGACUUACAGAAUUAUUUUGAAGCCAACAACAACGUUCAUAUUGUCUAGGUUUUUUGGGGAUGUAAAUCUGAUGGAUACUGUAAAUAUUGUACGAGUAUCAAUUUUUCACUUUUUAUUACAACAAUGUAUUCUGACAGUGCACAUCAAUAACAAAUCGUACCGGGAGCAAAA
This is a long non-coding RNA of Brachypodium distachyon (stiff brome), 1013 nucleotides long. RefSeq lists it as uncharacterized. The record is from RefSeq and is a predicted model, not a curated record. The transcript has 3 exons. NCBI's taxonomy places the organism in Eukaryota, Viridiplantae, Streptophyta, Magnoliopsida, Poales, Poaceae.